RNAcentral lists this long non-coding RNA (436 nucleotides) under Phascolarctos cinereus (koala). RNAcentral describes it as "lncRNA (ENSPCIG00000032292.1)". Lineage: Eukaryota; Metazoa; Chordata; Mammalia; Diprotodontia; Phascolarctidae. The record is from RNAcentral.
GACAUGAAUGGACAGUGAGGUGUUUGCUUCAUUCACAGGCCAGGGGGUGCCGCUCUCUCUCCCCACUAAGGACCCAUGGAGGUUGUGAUGAAACAGGCCAAGGCACACCUAGACAGAAGGCUCAUUGACAUUCACAACUGGGGCCCCAGAGCAAAGAGGACCUGCAGGCUUGAGCACUUCCCUUCCCUCCUCCUCUUUUGCAUCCCAUGCUGUGCUAGUGCUCCCACCUGGAGGCAGUGAAAUCAACCAACAAGCAGGAAGGCCUUGGAGGACACGUUUGCAUGCCAGCCCUAAGGGAGAGAGAGAAGUGGUAGGCAUGAGACUCCUCCCCUAGGUACCUCUGGCCCUGGAGAGCUCAGGCUGGGGACUCGGGUGCAAGGGGAGAAGGGAGGGUCCUGUGGCUCAGGCCAAACAUGUUCCAGGGGGCCAGCUGGGG